UUGCAGCAAAUAUGAGCAAAUCUACUAUUCCAGCUCCAUAAUUGAUCUCACCAACCCCACCAGAUUUUUAAUCUCUUUGUCUACAGUACCUGAUAUUAUAAUUGAGGUUGUCGAAUUUAUCCCUGAACACAUUCGCCACUUGUUUCAAUUUUUGUAAUCCCGCCUCCCAGUUCGUCCGCAGAAGUCGCAAGCACGCAAGCGCUUACUUUGAAAUCUUCACCAUUCUUGUCGAGUUAUACAAGUAGAUCUGGAAAAUUAUGUGCGACACAUCGCGGACUGUUGGAGUGUCUUGAAGGCCAUCGAAAUUGAGCCGAUUGUCCCGACAACAGGUGGUGUUGGUUCAAGGGUUGUUUGGGUGCCCUUGACGGCAAUUACAUUAAUUUAAUGGUGAGUAAUGCCGAUAAGCCGAGGUAUCGCACCCGUAAAGGCAAUUAUUAUCUAUGCGACAAUGGGUAUGCGAACACCGAGGGAUUUCUUGGCCCAUACAAAGGGGUAUGCUAUCACUUGAAGGAAUGGGGCCCGAUGGCAUCCAGACCUCAAAAUGCAAUGGAGUUGUUCAACUUGCACCAUUCGAAGGCACGCAUUGUUAUUGAACGUGCGUUUGGUAUCAUGAAAAUGCGCUGGGGUAUUUUGAGGAGCAGUACAUUCUAUCCCGUUAAGACUCAAAUUCGCUUAAUUAUGUCGUGCUUCAUAUUGAAUAAUUUUAUUUGGUCUGAGAUGCCCGAUGAUCCCAUAGAGCGAAAGCUUGAUAGUGUAACUGAAAACGACCAGACAGAGCUAGAGAUCGAUGCUGCUUUCAUAGAUGAUAUCGAGUCCUCUCCCCAAUGGAAUGCAGAAAGGGAUGCGCUAGCCCAGACGAUGUGGCUGAAUUACAUGAACAAUACCUGAUUUGAAUACCUGUCAGCACGUGGCUGUUAUUUUAGACAUUUUUAGUUUCUUUUAUACUGGACCUGUUAAAUGUCGAAUGUUGUGUAGUAAGUAAUGAUAUUGUUUAGUUUAGCUAAUUGUUGGUGAUGCAGUCUUCCAAUGUGUUUCGAUGCAGCCACCUUCUCUUUUGUUUCUUGAUGUUAUUACGUUAGAAAUUGUUGACUAUGACUGUGUUUGUUGUUGUUGGUGAUCCACAUCCUAAUAUGAUCUAAUUUAAUCUUA
This is an RNA transcript of Salvia miltiorrhiza (redroot sage), 1149 nucleotides long. RefSeq lists it as uncharacterized. The record is from RefSeq and is a predicted model, not a curated record. The transcript has 5 exons. Lineage: Eukaryota; Viridiplantae; Streptophyta; Magnoliopsida; Lamiales; Lamiaceae.